UACAGAGGUCUCAAGCGUUGUUCGGAUUCAUUGGGCGUAAAGGGUGCGUAGGCGGCGCGGUAAGUCGGGAUGUGAAAUCUCGGAGCUUAACUCCGAAACUGCAUUCGAUACUGCCGUGCUUGAGGACUGGAGAGGAGAUUGGAAUUUACGGUGUAGCAGUGAAAUGCGUAGAUAUCGUAAGGAAGACCAGUGGCGAAGGCGAAUCUCUGGACAGUUACUGACACUGAGGCACGGAAGGCCAGGGGAGCAAACGGG
RNAcentral lists this ribosomal RNA (255 nucleotides) under uncultured bacterium. Its description in RNAcentral is "partial 16S ribosomal RNA". It matches the Rfam family "Bacterial small subunit ribosomal RNA", at positions 524 to 776 of the family's 1533-position model. The record is from RNAcentral.